CCUAGAGUUGCGGGCUUUGCCUGCCAUCUCUUACCCAUGUCUUUUGAGUACCUUCGUUUCCUCGGCGGGUUCGCCCGCCGGUUGGACAACACUUAAACCCUUUGUAAUUGAAAUCAGCGUCUGAAAAAACUUUAAUAGUUA
RNAcentral lists this unclassified non-coding RNA (141 nucleotides) under uncultured Ascomycota. RNAcentral's name for it is "sequence contains ITS1". The record is from RNAcentral. Lineage: Eukaryota; Fungi; Ascomycota.